CUGUCUGUUUUUCAUCAACUAGGCAUGUCCGCCAUGCGAAAUCUGGGGGCUGCCAUUCCGGUAUUGAAACCAACUGACUAUUUCUGUAAUCUGAUGUCUCUAGUACCUCGAUUACACAAAGCAAUUAGAGAGAUAUUUCGUUAAACAUCUCCAGCUAUUAGAAUGUUUCGAUCUAAAUGUUUAAUAUUGUUUAUUAUAAAAGUAACAUCGAUGUUUACGUCAUAUCAGGGAAUGCUCCGUCUUCGAUUUUACAAUGGACAGAUAAAUUAAUACGCGCCCAGUUUUAGCAGUUCCGACUGAAUUUAACGUCUGUUAUUUCUUUUGCAGAAUGCCUUGUUUCACAAAAAAGAACACUGUUCAGAUAUUUUCUCUGGACUGUCAAUUUCUGCAUUUCAUAAUCAUGUGAUACCUGUGUUGGAGCCCUCCCAAAAACCUCCCCUGUAAGAUUUCAAAGUUAAGGAGAUCAUUCAAAUGACAGAGGUUUUGGUCCAUCUUGGUUUGUCUCAACAGUUAAUCUUUUGGAAAGCAGUGCUGGAGAAAAUAUCAGCAACAUGUGAAGACUGUGAUUUAGUUUCAUAUGAUAUGACUAAAGAAAGUUAAUAUUUUUGAUUCCAUGGUUGUAUGAACAAAUGCUUUGAACUUUCCAAACAUCAUUGAAAAAGAACAUAUGAUGACCAAAUAAAAAUACAUAUUUGAACUUUCCACGAGUUUACAAUAAAGAACAUUUUGGGAUCUUGAUGCAGGAUAUUAUUGUGUUUAGUGUUUUAGUGUUUUAUAUAAUUUAUUCAUAUUGUUUAGUGCAUUAAGGACAUACGCAACGUACCUUACCUACUGAUACUUUUUCGAGAUAUUCUUAAUUUAAGAUUAUAGUGCUAUCAGAUGUUCGUAGACAAAAAAUCAGCAUGCAUUACCUGGGGUUUUGAAAAGAUAUCAAUUGAUGAAAAUUCUUGUAUAAUUCAAAGAAAAAUAUACAAAAAUUACUAAACAUAUAUUCUAGAUGUUUUGUUUAUCCAAACUUGUUUUAGAAGAAGUGUACAAUAACAUAUAUAGACAUUAAAAUUUAGCACACAGUUCCUUUAAGUAUUGGAACUCUUCAACUCCAAGGAAAAAGACAAUAAAGUUCAAACUAUGUUGCGUAUGUCCUUAAAUGCAAAAAAAUGUUUUAAAGUCACUCUUGUGAAACCCAUGCUAAGAACACAGGUCUCAAAUAUCUUAGAGAGUUAUAUUAGAGUUAUAUUGUUAGAAUUGAAGCUUAUUUAUAAAAUUAUACCUUAUAUCUUUAAAGAAAGUUUCACAAAAAAUAGUCAAACUUGCAUAUACUGGUUAACAUGUUAAAAGAAAUAUAAUAUCCUGGAAGUGAUUAAGAAUAAAAAAAAAGUUCAUUUA
Long non-coding RNA from Saccostrea echinata, 1386 nucleotides. RefSeq lists it as uncharacterized. The transcript has 3 exons. The record is from RefSeq and is a predicted model, not a curated record. Lineage: Eukaryota; Metazoa; Mollusca; Bivalvia; Ostreida; Ostreidae.